Molecule: long non-coding RNA, 2119 nt
Filed under: Eucalyptus grandis
Lineage: Eukaryota; Viridiplantae; Streptophyta; Magnoliopsida; Myrtales; Myrtaceae
Description: long non-coding RNA (EGRA_LNC000996)
Source: RNAcentral
CUCCCACACAUCCAGCACCUCUCUACACCUCCUACUCCACAGGACUACCACCCUGCCCGGUCCAUCAUCAUAAAGCGUCAAGGGUCCCACCAGCCGUCCAUCCACCCGAGCGUAAAGGGCAACGAAGAUCAUAUAAGCUGGUCUGGUAGGUGCCCCUGUAUCUAUUGUCAAACAAGAGGUGCAUUUGACAAAUACGACUCCUGGGAAAUGGCGGUCCUGGAAGUCCUCUUGCCGCCAAACAAAGUCGGCGGGGGAGCCAUAAAGGAUGGUCGUCGUGGCAGCAGGUGGGGUAGGCGGCGCAGUAGACAUCUUCUACUCUGAAGAAACAACAUAAUAAUAAGUGUGAGUUUUUAAAACAAAAACUCAGCAAGUGGGUGGUUAGUCCUAACUUGAAUUGGCCAAAAACAGUGCAAAUAAGUAAACAAAAUCAUCAAGUUAUUGAAUCCACAGAAACCUAGCUGCAACAAUCACCCAGGGGGAGACAACACUCCACCCUGAACCCCCUCGCACCCAACCUAGCAUCACGAGAUCCCCUGAGAAGCUGUUCAACCCUUCUCAGACCUCUGGAGAGAACACCACUACUUCUUUUCAUCCCUCUCCAGGCAUCCCGACACCCAAGGUCUCACAUUGGCUCAUUAUCCAAUCAUACUUUCAUAGUUCCACUUUAUUGCAACACCAACAAUCUCAGCCAAUUAAGAAUCCAAUACAAAAGACAACAACUAACACAUAUACUCGGAUCAAGCAAUUUAUGAACAAAAAGGAGCAGUUUUGUUCGCAGACAUAAAAAGUACAUCAAUCCUUAUCAGAAUAUUACGAAAUUUUGACACGUUAUUGAUAAGACCUAGAGGGAAAAAUAUCAAGAAGAACACUAAGUCAGAUUCCAUAGGAACCAAGGGUAAAACUUCGAUUUUCUUCCUACCCAACAUUCUGUAAAAUUCCAGAUUUCAUAUUUUUGUAGGAAAAUUAUUUCGAGGGUCAUACUUUGUUCAUUCUCUCUAAAUUUUGGAUAUGUUAUUCAUGAAGAUGUGCUCUAAAAUUUUCAUCAAGGGUUCGAAAUCAAAUUGUGAUCAGAUAAUUACAGAGAAUUUGAAAUGUCGCCUGAGGUCACACUGAUUUUCACAAAAACAGUUCACUAGUUCACAAAACUCCUCCUAUUAAUUAAAUUGAAUUCAGCGCAUUGGUAAUUUGAAGCUACACUCCCGACUUCAAGAUUUUCAAAGAUUGGUUUGUACAAGGAUUUGUAAUUUUGAAGGUACCAAAACUAUUUUCUUCUCCUUUUUGAAUCAUUGUUAAGGGUGCCUCGGUAAGUAAAAUUUCAGCAAGGGUCGGGAGGUUUUCCAAAUUGGACUAUGGCCAAGUUUUUUUUUUUUUUUCAAAGAAAAUAAAUGAGUUUAAAGCUUGUAGAGCAAGUCCGAAAUGUCAACCCGAUCUCUAAUGGUUUUAAAAGAAUUGAUACAGAAUUUCAAAUAUGAAAGCACCGUACAUUUUCUUAAAACAAAUGAGGCCGGUGCCUUAGCAAGUAAAACUUCAAAUACGGAUUGAGAUUUUUCUUUCUCAAAUCGAAUCAAUGGCCGAAUUCUUCAAGAUUUCAUAAUCAUAAAAUCUGUUUUGGAUGAAGUCCAAAGAAAUCAAAACCAUAUAUGAAAAAUCCGAACAUUUCCUCAACCCUUUAGCCUCAAAACAGUCUCAAUCACUCAAUAAAUCAUCAUUCAACUUCAAAAUCCAACAAUCCAGCCUAUCAAUGCACUUUCUAAGACAGCUCCAGAAACAUCACAACUCUUUGGGUACAGCGACCCGCUGCUCGAGGAAGGUUGAACCCAGAAAGAGGAGUUGAAGAAAUCGUGUAACAAAAACAGGAAUAGAGAACGCACACACAAAUGGCUCCCUCUGGUUUACCCAUCAUACAGCAACUAGCUUCCCCAUCCACCGAUCUCGACCAAGGACAGGGCUUUACUAGCCAUCCCCUGCACCCCAAAUCGCAGCUACCUAACCCUAAACCCACAUGCAGCACCAAAUGAGCCAAAUCAGGGACACGAGACUACAAGAACAGCCCACUUGCCUAGAUCCUUCAUCAAUGGAAGGGAAAGGAGGCAUCGGGCGGCUAAGCUUCACAGCCAGC